CAUGCUAGUUGUACGUCUAACGUAGCGAAAAGCUCCGUAACACGUGGCCAACACUACCCUGUGGAGGACAAUAACCUCGGGAAACUGAGGCUAAUAGUCCACGCGACACUCGAGUUGGAAUACUGGGUGGCAGAAACGCUCCGGCGCCACAGGAUGUGGCUGUGGCUGAUUAGGUAGACGGUGGGGUAACGGCCCACCGUGCCGAUAAUCAGUACGGGUUGUGAGAGCAAGAGCCCGGAGACGGAAUCUGAGACAAGAUUCCGGGCCCUACGGGGCGCAGCAGGCGCGAAACCUUUACACUGCACGCCAGUGCGAUAAGGGGACCCCGAGUGCGAGGGCAUACUAGCCCUCGCUUUUCUGAACCGUAGGGAGGUUCAGGAACAAGAGCUGGGCAAGACCGGUGCCAGCCGCCGCGGUAAUACCGGCAGCUCGAGUGAUGACCGCUGUUAUUGGGCCUAAAGCGUCCGUAGCUGGCCACGCAAGUCCGUCGGGAAAUCCACUAGCUCAACUAGUGGGCGUCCGGCGGAAACUGCGUGGCUUGGGACCGGAAGGCUCGAGGGGUACGUCCGGGGUAGGAGUGAAAUCCCGUAAUCCUGGACGGACCACCGAUGGCGAAAGCACCUCGAGAAGACGGAUCCGACAGUGAGGGACGAAAGCUGGGGUCUCGAACCGGAUUAGAUACCCGGGUAGUCCCAGCCGUAAACGAUGCCAGUUAGGUUUGGCGCGGGCUACGAGCUCGUGCUGUGCCGCAGUGAAGACGAUAAACUGGCCGCCUGGGAAGUACGUCCGCAAGGAUGAAACUUAAAGGAAUUGGCGGGGAAGCACUACAACCGGAGGAGCCUGCGGUUUAAUUGGAUUCAACGCCGGGA
This 869-nucleotide ribosomal RNA is filed under the name uncultured archaeon. RNAcentral's name for it is "bacterial SSU rRNA". It matches the Rfam family "Archaeal small subunit ribosomal RNA", at positions 50 to 923 of the family's 1478-position model. The record is from RNAcentral.